This 1233-nucleotide ribosomal RNA is filed under the name metagenome. RNAcentral's name for it is "bacterial LSU rRNA". It matches the Rfam family "Bacterial large subunit ribosomal RNA", at positions 1564 to 2808 of the family's 2925-position model. The record is from RNAcentral.
UGAAUACGAGAUGCUACGGCAUUGAAGCAGUGUAUGUCAGACUUCCAAGAAAAGCUCGCAAUGUCAUAAACAAUAAAUGCCUGUACCAUAACCGACACAGGUGGGUAGGUAGAGUAUACUAAGGGGCGCGAGAUAACUCUCUCUAAGGAACUCGGCAAAAUAACUCCGUAACUUCGGGAGAAGGAGUGCCUUCAUUUGAAGGUUGCAAUAACAAGACCCAAGCAACUGUUUACCAAAAACACAGGUCUCCGCUAAGUCGUAAGACGAUGUAUGGGGGCUGACGCCUGCCCAGUGCCAGAAGGUUAAAGAAGUUGGUUAGCCUAGCGAAGCUGAUGACUGAAGCCCUGGUGAACGGCGGCCGUAACAAUAACGGUCCUAAGGUAGCGAAAUUCCUUGUCGGGUAAGUUCCGACCCGCACGAAAGGCGUAAUGAUUUGGGUACUGUCUCAGAGAGGGGCUCGGUGAAAUAGACUUGUCUGUGAAGAUGCGGACUACCUGCACCAGGACAGAAAGACCCUAUGAAGCUUUACUGUAACUUGAGAUUGAAAUUGGACUUUAUUUGCGCAGUAUAGGUGGGAGACUUUGAUAAUAUUCUUGCGGGAAUAUUGGAGUCAUCAGUGAGAUACCACUCUUGUAAUGUUAGAUUUCUAACUUUGUAUCAUUAUCUGGUCAAAGAACAGUCUCAGGCGGGCAGUUUGACUGGGGCGGUCGCCUCCCAAACGGUAACGGAGGCGCACAAAGGUUUCCUCUGAACGUGUAGAAAUCGUAUCUAGAGUGUAAAGGCAUAAGGAAGCUUGACUGUGAGACCUACAAGUCGAGCAGGGACGAAAGUCGGUCUUAGUGAUCUGACGGUGCUGAGUGGAAAGGCCGUCACUCAACGGAUAAAAGUUACUCUAGGAUAACAGGCUGAUCUCCCCCAAGAGUUCACAUCGACGGGGAGGUUUGGCACCUCGAUGUCGGCUCAUCGCAUCCUGGGGCGGUAGUACGUCCCAAGGGUUGGGCUUUUCGCCCAUGAAAGCGGUACGCGAGCUGGGUUCAGAACGUCGUGAGACAGUUCGGUCCAUAUCCGGUGUAGGCGUUAGAAUAUUGAAAGGAGCCUUCUUUAGUACGAGAGGACCGAGAAGGACAUACCUCUGGUGUACCAGUUAUCGUGCCAACGGUAAACGCUGGGUAGCUAUGUAUGGAGUGGAUAACCGCUGAAAGCAUCUAAGUGGGAAGCCCACCUUAAGAUAAG